GGGGCUGUAGCUCAGUGGUAGAGCGCUUGCCUCACAUGCAUGAGGCCCUGAGUUCAAUCCUUAGCAUCACA
Molecule: transfer RNA, 71 nt
Filed under: Marmota monax (woodchuck)
Lineage: Eukaryota; Metazoa; Chordata; Mammalia; Rodentia; Sciuridae
Description: tRNA.Val
Rfam family: tRNA (bases 6-66)
About the family: Transfer RNA (tRNA) molecules are approximately 80 nucleotides in length. Their secondary structure includes four short double-helical elements and three loops (D, anti-codon, and T loops).
Source: RNAcentral